UUGUGUUUGUGAUUGUGAAAAUGUGAGUGUGUGUCUGUGUAUGUGUGAACCAGGGAUCCCACUUGACAAGUUGACCUUGUCUAGAGGAGCAUUAGUGGAAAAAAACAGGGUAGCCCUGAGACAAUAGGAUGCCGUCACGACCAAUGAGACUGGCCUGCAGGGGGCGCAAGGAUUCACUUCUCUCUUGGACACUGGCGGGUGUAGACACGGUAAUUAUGAUCCUGGCAAUUGCGUUGAUCGUCAGUAGAAGAGCGUAGCUUAGGUGGGGUUCUGUCUGCCUCUGAUGGGGUGCGGAUCUGUGGUUCGUCACUGGUGAAUGGUGUUCGACGAUGCAGGUGGAUUUUGUGACGAGCGGAUUUACAAUGAGGGAAUGCUGUGAACGGGAAAAAUGAUGAGCUGUCCUAACUUGCCCCGACAUGCCAUGAUGACGUCACAGCUGACGUCACAGGAUGUCCGGAACUGGUGUUCAUAGCUGCAAUGCUUUGCAACCUGCCUCCGUGCUCCGUCGCCCAGCGACAGUCAGCGGCCGUUCCGUACCGCUUUCUUCAAGAUGACGUCGUUGAUCUUCAACUAAACUCCUUCUCUCCACUCUAUCUCUAUCUUUUUAUUUUAUUUUCUACCUAUUUUUUUAUUUUUUAUCAGCUCAAGUAGCCGGAAACUCACACAGUGGUCUGGACGUGUCUUAGAUGAUCCCCAAUUAGUGUAAUGACUCCCUGGUGGGUCCUGAUUAAUGUGGGGGGUCCCAAUUAGCUCUAAUUGCUAAUUAAUGGCGUCCAGACGAAGAUGUGAGUUUCCGGAUACUUGAGCUGAU
Molecule: long non-coding RNA, 811 nt
Organism: Ornithodoros turicata
Lineage: Eukaryota; Metazoa; Arthropoda; Arachnida; Ixodida; Argasidae
Exons: 3
Source: RefSeq, a predicted model, not a curated record